CCUUACAGUAUAUUCAAGGUAUGGAAAGAUAGGAAAUAACAUGCAUAGCUCUAAACUUACUACAAGAGUAUCAUUGGAAGUAGAAGAAGACAAAACAUCAAAACACAAAAUAACUUCAUAUCCAAUCAAGUUUCUACUCGAAAAUGCCUAUGUACAACCAUUUGCUAUCCAUAGCUUAUAGAAAUACCUGGAAAAAAGAAAAGAGACAAUGAAGUGUGAGAUCAAUAACCAAGCAGCAGAAACCAGCUUUAAAUCCAGCAAUGGAACUAUAGAAACCACAGUAAAAUCCGAACCAGACUCUAUAAUACCCAGAAUUCGAUCCAUUUUUAACCUAGAAUGCAAAUCGUGAACUUUCAGUGAUUUGAACCAUAUUAUUAGGAUCGGAUGAAUAAGAAUUCAAGCAGAAUUUUUAGUAAUUUUUCUGAAAUGCAAGGAAUUUAAGGUUGUUUCAUAAUUUUUUAAAGAAGAGGCAGCCAUUUCAGUUUUGGAUGAUUUCUAUCUCUUCAAAUCUGACUUGAAU
RNAcentral lists this long non-coding RNA (520 nucleotides) under Nicotiana benthamiana. RNAcentral describes it as "long non-coding RNA (NBEN_LNC024540)". The record is from RNAcentral. Lineage: Eukaryota; Viridiplantae; Streptophyta; Magnoliopsida; Solanales; Solanaceae.